UACACCUUCUUCCUGUUUUCAUGCUUGAUCUAUGUUCCACUGGAUCAUCUUACGACUAAACCUUAUGGGGCCGCGAUGGGGAGUUCCAACUACUGAGCCGGCGAGAUUUUACGUGUCUGGUGGAUGUGGAGCGCCUACCGUAAUACUGUCAGCUGAAGGUGCUUGCUUAGGCAACUGCAUUUCAGGUGCCACUGCUCGCAACUUGUCUUCACGGUCACUACACCGAUGAAUAGGGAAACGAAAGUAUUCAUUCACUGAUUGUCAAAACUUUGCAAGUGGAUUUUCGCGGAAAAAAUUUCAACCGUCUUCAAUUGUCUGCCAACUGAGGUUAAAGCUGUACGAUUUGACUUUUUGUCGGUGGAAAUAUGGCAACAUAAAAUGAUAAAAAAUAAAACAUUUACAGCUAAACUAACAAGGUGAAAUAUAUUGGUGGAAAAAAAAUCGCAACACCGAAAAUAGUUAAUGCAGAGUAAUGAAGUUUCGGGAGUACGUUUAUCUAGGCAACAUAUUUAACUUAUUAACAUUUCAAGAUUACAGGUUAAUACGCCAUUGCAAAUGUGAAAUGCUGGUGCAUUAAAUAUGAGUGGAGAUGCGUCGCGUGGUUUCCCUUGUUAGUUUCUAUCGUAAUUUACAGAUUAUAAGGCCAUUUACAGCUUUUAUUUUUUAUCACGUUUAAGGUUGACAUCGCAAAAAAUUGACAGUAAUUGAUUACUAAUAAACGACUGAAAAUACCCAACCGGCUAUUUCUAUUUAAUAUAGAUAGUCUGGCUUUUAGGGAACCAUGUCAGGCUAAAUAUAACUUCGCGGCCGAUUUUUAUUUUUAAACCUUUGAGAAUCAUUGUGGAGUAGUAAUAGGUCACUGACAAGAUAGUGCAAAUUAUCAUAUUUUAAGAAUGUAUUAGUUGGCUUGUUAAUUUAUUAAAUCAAGUUGUACAUAUCAUAAACUGGCACAAGAGUUUCAUUUUCUGGUGUAUGUUCCGUCACCCACUGAUCUGCUGUUCAUGAUUAUGAAGUUGAGUUACAAUAUUGUGGACAGAAAUUAUUUGUUCUAGAUUUAUUUAUUGUUCCUUUACAUCUUUUCUGUACAUGGGUACAAUUCGAUAUUAUCAAGUCAGUUUGUAAUGAUAGUGUCACUAGAAGACUAUGUUUUCGAUGAUUUUAGAGAGUAUAGUCAUACAACAGAAUAAGAUCAUGUAGUACCUUACAAGUUUACAACAUUAAAUACUGUAUGUAGUAAAGAAUUCUACAUCGCAUAGGCUAUAAUACAAUAACAUGACAGUACAAGAACAAGACAUUGCUAAUGAGACAACUAUAUACAUAGGCCAUAAUAUGGUAGUGAAGAAGUGUAGUGUAUAAAAAUAAAGAGUUCAUGAGUAUAAUACAUAACAGAAUGUGGAACUGUAUAAUUAAUGUGCAAAAACAAAACUGAGGCAAGAUAGACCUCUAUUAGCAGGGAAAACACUUUACAAGUAGUUACCACGUCAGGGCCUAUGUGAUACAGUUGUCUCAGUACUGUCUUAUUCUUGUAUUGUCAUAUUUUUAUAGUAUCUUACUCUUGCAUUGUAGCCUCUGUGUUUAGAAUUUUUAGUUGUAUACCUACACUGCUUCAUGUUGAAAACUUAUAAUGUAUCCAAUGACUUUACUGUUAUUUAUUGACCUUGACCUUAAUACCAGCAUUAUUGUAUAAUUCUGAAUUGUCCCAAGCUCACUUAAAACUUGUUUGGUAAUAUACGCUUUCACCAAAUGAUGUACACUGCUAAGUGAAACAGAAUAUUCCAUCUGGCUGCUAUUCAUUUUAAAUGAAGCAUUUCUAGUCUUACAAUAUCAUUGACUACCAUCUUUCAGUGUGUUUCUGUGAAGUUUCCAUGCACAAUUUAAUGUUUAACCCAUUCAAAUAAGCAAGAUUGUUUAUUAUCUGUCUCCAAAUGUAUUUGGAUUCCAGCUUCUACUCCUAAGCACAACAUAGAGUACAUAUGUUGCAACAUUUGAUUGUGUGACUUAGUCCUAUGGAGUAUGUUACUGCAUUUUAUUCUGUCGAGAGGUUUAGCCUUGGUAAGUUUUUAAGUCUGUACAAGUCAGCUACUGAAACAAUGGGCAAUGUGGAAUACCUCCACUUGCUACAAUUCCACUCAUUAAAUAUAUUUUUCUUUUGCUGUUUUCUACUAUACAUGUAAUGCAUAUACUAUGAAUACAAAAAAUUGUUAAAUCCUUAUCCAUGCUGUAUUUCUUUAAACUUUAUUAUUCAGUCUAAGUUAUCAGAUGACUGAUAAUAAUCAUAUAACCAGUUUUUAAGGAAACAUUUUCUUUGAUGAAAUGUUGUAAAUUUAUGAUAAUUCACAAAAACCAUGUGCUUUUCAAAAUUUGACCCAGUUAAUAAUUAAUUGUUCUAAAAUUCACAUAAAUUGAAGUCUUCAUUCUCCUUUCCAAUGAAUAUUGUAUUUUUCCAGAAAUUGUAUGUUUAAAAAAUUAUUGUAUUCUGGGAUAUUUGUAUCUUAAAAUAUAAUUGUGUCAAAAU
Long non-coding RNA from Schistocerca gregaria, 2515 nucleotides. RefSeq lists it as uncharacterized. The transcript has 2 exons. Lineage: Eukaryota; Metazoa; Arthropoda; Insecta; Orthoptera; Acrididae. The record is from RefSeq and is a predicted model, not a curated record.